CGAAGUAGACGAGCCCCGCCGCAGCCACCCCGAUCGACCCGCCCAGCUGCUGAGCCGUGGGCAACAGCCCGGAC
RNAcentral lists this transfer RNA (74 nucleotides) under Streptomyces mutabilis. Lineage: Bacteria; Bacillati; Actinomycetota; Actinomycetes; Kitasatosporales; Streptomycetaceae. The record is from RNAcentral.